This 110-nucleotide ribosomal RNA is filed under the name uncultured bacterium. Its description in RNAcentral is "partial 16S ribosomal RNA". It matches the Rfam family "Bacterial small subunit ribosomal RNA", at positions 1373 to 1482 of the family's 1533-position model. The record is from RNAcentral.
CCCGGGUCUUGUACACACCGCCCGUCAAGUGAUGGGAAUUGGUUCCACCUGAAGUCGGGGCGCUAACCGUAAGGAAGUAGCCGACCACGGUGGGGUCAGUGACUGGCACU